ACGUGGCGGCGUGGAUUAGGCAUGCAAGUCGAGCGAGAAGGUUCCUUCGGGAACUGGACAGCGGCGAAAGGGAGAGUAACGCGUAGAUAUCUGCCUCGAGGCCCGGGAUAGCGGCGGGAAACUGCCGGUAAUACCGGAUAACAUCUCCGGAUCAAAGGUGUGAUUCCGCCUCGAGAUGAGUCUGCGUCCUAUUAAUGCUUGUUGGUGUGGUAACGGCGCACCAAGGCGAAGAUGGGUACCGGGUGUGAGAGCAUGGCCCGGCUCACUGGGACUGAGACACUGCCCAGACACCUACGGGUGGCUGCAGUCGAGAAUCUUCGGCAAUGGGCGAAAGCCUGACCGAGCGACGCCGCGUGCGGGAUGAAGGCCCUCGGGUUGUAAACCGCUGUCAGUAGGGAGCAAAUCUCUUGGGGUUAUCCCCUUGAGUUGAGCGAUCUUCAGAGGAAGUACGGGCUAAGUUCGUGCCAGCAGCCGCGGUAAGACGAACCGUACGAACGUUAUUCGGAAUCACUGGGCUUAAAGAGUCCGUAGGCGGCCGUGUAGGUGGGAUGUGAAAGCCCUCGUCUCAACCGAGGAAUUGCGUUCCAAACCACAUGGCUUGAGGAGGAUAGAGGUGAGCGGAACUGAUGGUGGAGCGGUGAAAUGCGUUGAUAUCAUCAGGAACACCAGAGGCGAAGGCGGCUCACUGGGUCCUUUCUGACGCUGAGGGACGAAAGCUAGGGGAGCAAACGGGAUUAGAUACCCCGGUAGUCCUAGCUGUAAACGAUGAGCACUAGAUCGAGGGGACUUCCACAUCUUCUCGGUCGUAGCGAAAGUGUUAAGUGCUCCGCCUGGGGAGUAUGUCGCAAGCAAGGCC
Molecule: ribosomal RNA, 856 nt
Filed under: Planctomycetes bacterium SCGC AAA300-P05
Lineage: Bacteria; Pseudomonadati; Planctomycetota
Description: SSU rRNA
Rfam family: Bacterial small subunit ribosomal RNA
Source: RNAcentral